This 467-nucleotide ribosomal RNA is filed under the name uncultured bacterium. Its description in RNAcentral is "partial 16S ribosomal RNA". It matches the Rfam family "Bacterial small subunit ribosomal RNA", at positions 28 to 507 of the family's 1533-position model. The record is from RNAcentral.
GACGAACGCUGGCGGCGUGCUUAACACAUGCAAGUCGAACGGAAAGGCCUCAGCUUGCUGGGGUACUCGAGUGGCGAACGGGUGAGUAACACGUGGGUGAUCUGCCUUGCACUCUGGGAUAAGCUUGGGAAACUGGGUCUAAUACCGGAUAUGAACUGCCUUUAGUGUGGUGGUUGGAAAGUUUUUUCGGUGCAAGAUGAGCUCGCGGCCUAUCAGCUUGUUGGUGGGGUAAUGGCCUACCAAGGCGUCGACGGGUAGCCGGCCUGAGAGGGUGUACGGCCACAUUGGGACUGAGAUACGGCCCAGACUCCUACGGGAGGCAGCAGUGGGGAAUAUUGCACAAUGGGCGGAAGCCUGAUGCAGCGACGCCGCGUGGGGGAUGACGGCCUUCGGGUCGUAAACUCCUUUCGACAGGGACGAAGCUUUUUGUGACGGUACCUGUAUAAGAAGCACCGGCUAACUACGUG